This is a small nucleolar RNA of Dioscorea cayenensis subsp. rotundata (Guinea yam), 139 nucleotides long. RefSeq annotates it as small nucleolar RNA Z247. The transcript has a single exon. Lineage: Eukaryota; Viridiplantae; Streptophyta; Magnoliopsida; Dioscoreales; Dioscoreaceae. The record is from RefSeq and is a predicted model, not a curated record.
CCACUCGAUGAAGAAGACAUCAUGGCAUACAUGAUUGCCGGACUCAACGCUGAUUUUGAGCCGGUGGUGUCGGCUCUCGCUGCUUCAAAGGAGCCGGUCACUGUGGCAGAACUCUAUGGGCAGCUGCUGGGGUUUGAAG